This 218-nucleotide small RNA is filed under the name Arabidopsis thaliana (thale cress). RNAcentral describes it as "ATSL187200". Lineage: Eukaryota; Viridiplantae; Streptophyta; Magnoliopsida; Brassicales; Brassicaceae. The record is from RNAcentral.
UGUUGAUGCACGAAUCACACAAGUACGAAAAUGGGAUCUCUAGGGAAGGAAGAAGAAUCUUUCUAUUAAUGACGAGCCCGCGACUUAGGCGAAUUGGACGGAUUACAAAGGAUGAUUUCUUCAACGAGCAUAAAUGGAGUUAGAACGAGCCGAUUGUAGAUGAAAGACGAGCUUGAGGCCGGAAGACGAUCUUGAUGUCCGAGGAAGAAUAGAGUUUA